Molecule: ribosomal RNA, 460 nt
Filed under: uncultured bacterium
Lineage: Bacteria
Description: partial 16S ribosomal RNA
Rfam family: Bacterial small subunit ribosomal RNA
Source: RNAcentral
CCUACGGGUGGCAGCAGUGAGGAAUAUUGGUCAAUGGGCGCGAGUCUGAACCAGCCAUGCCGCGUGCAGGAAGACUGCUCUAUGGGUUGUAAACUUCUUUUUUACGGGAAUAAACGCAGAUACGUGUAUCUGUCUGAAAGUAUCUUACGAAUAAGGAUCGGCUAACUCCGUGCCAGCAGCCGCGGUAAUACGGAGGAUUCAAGCGUUAUCCGGAUUUAUUGGGUUUAAAGGGUGCGUAGGCGGUGUGAUAAGUUAGAUGUGAAAUUCUGAGGCUCAACUUCGGAAUUGCAUUUGAUACGGUCAGGCUAGAGAGGAGUUGAGGUAGGCGGAAUGCAUGGUGUAGCGGUGAAAUGCUUAGAGAUCAUACAGAACACCGAUUGCGAAGGCAGCUUACCAAGCUACUUCUGACGUUGAGGCACGAAAGCGUGGGGAGCAAACAGGAUUAGAUACCCCAGUAGUC